Long non-coding RNA from Sapajus apella (tufted capuchin), 101 nucleotides. RefSeq lists it as uncharacterized. The transcript has 3 exons. The record is from RefSeq and is a predicted model, not a curated record. Lineage: Eukaryota; Metazoa; Chordata; Mammalia; Primates; Cebidae.
UGGGGUUUCUCCAUGUUGGUCUGCCUGAUCUCAAACACCCAACCCCAGGUGAGUAGCCUGCCUCAGUCUCCCAAAGUGCUGGGAUUACAGGUGUGAGCUAC